AACGUAGGAGACAAACGUUAUCCGGAAUUACUGGGCGUAAAGGGCGUGCAGGUGGUCUGUUAAGUCUGGCGUGAAAGCUCCCGGCUAAACCGGGAGAGGUCGUUGGAUACUGGCGGACUAGAGGACGGUAGAGGCGUGUGGAAUUCCGGGUGUAGUGGUGAAAUGCGUAGAGAUCCGGAGGAACACCAGUGGCGAAGGCGACACGCUGGGCCGUACCUGACACUAAGAAGCGACAGCAUGGGGAGCGAACGGG
RNAcentral lists this ribosomal RNA (253 nucleotides) under uncultured bacterium. RNAcentral's name for it is "partial 16S ribosomal RNA". It matches the Rfam family "Bacterial small subunit ribosomal RNA", at positions 524 to 776 of the family's 1533-position model. The record is from RNAcentral.